GACACAUUGUCCUUCAGAGAAGGAGGAUGGGAAGCCACAAGGAAUCAUGACCAUGUCCUGAGAAACCCCUUGGGCCCAGAAGAAAUCCAGAGUUGGAGUAGAAGUCUAGCUGGCAGCUGGUCGCCUGCACUGUGCUUGGAUAGGGGCAGAAAGCAGCUGCAGAUGGACUCGAGGUCCGUUCUCAGAAGGAAGACUUUAUGAGCAUCAUCUGCUGGUGACUCUCGAGGUGACCUGUGAACGUGACCCUGCCUGGGUGUGUCUCCAUCCUCCCAGAGAUGGACUCAUGGACUCAGGGGAGGAUGUGGCCUAGAAGGUGGCCUUCCAGGGCCAGAACUGUGUCCAGUUUGUCAGAAAUUGCCUGUUGGGUUUACCAGUACUCCCAGUUAAAUGUGAAUUUCAGAGAAGUCACAGGGAAACAAUUUUCAUGCUUUGCCUUCCCGACAACAGUUACAUGAAACAUCACUCUCUUAUGAUUACUGCGUGUGCUCAGAGAUGACCUAUAGUCCGUGAUGGACUGUGUUAAUUUGAGUAGGAGCUAAAGGAAAACAGAUGCCACCAGAAGUCCUCCCAGGGCUUCCCUAAUCUGAUGAAAAGCAGGAAGUUCUGAGACUCACAGGCCACUAUGUGUCCCCUCUGGAAGAGCCCUGUGGCUGUGGCUGUGAAGAAGACACCAAACACCAUGAUGGGUCUGUGAACGAGACUUAGUAAAAGAACUUUUUCUGCCAUUAGUUUCCCCUGGUUUUCAGCCUAAAGUGAG
RNAcentral lists this long non-coding RNA (757 nucleotides) under Cricetulus griseus (Chinese hamster). Its description in RNAcentral is "lncRNA (ENSCGRG00015041781.1)". Lineage: Eukaryota; Metazoa; Chordata; Mammalia; Rodentia; Cricetidae. The record is from RNAcentral.